This 253-nucleotide ribosomal RNA is filed under the name uncultured bacterium. RNAcentral's name for it is "partial 16S ribosomal RNA". It matches the Rfam family "Bacterial small subunit ribosomal RNA", at positions 524 to 776 of the family's 1533-position model. The record is from RNAcentral.
UACGAAGGGGGCUAGCGUUGCUCGGAAUUACUGGGCGUAAAGGGCGCGUAGGCGGACAGCUUAGUCAGAGGUGAAAGCCCAGGGCUCAACCUUGGAAUUGCCUUUGAUACUGGCUGUCUUGAGUUCGGGAGAGGUGAGUGGAAUGCCGAGUGUAGAGGUGAAAUUCGUAGAUAUUCGGCGGAACACCAGUGGCGAAGGCGACUCACUGGCCCGAUACUGACGCUGAGGCGCGGAAGCGUGGGGAGCAAACAGG